Transfer RNA from Felis catus (domestic cat), 85 nucleotides. It matches the Rfam family "tRNA". From Rfam's summary of the family: Transfer RNA (tRNA) molecules are approximately 80 nucleotides in length. Their secondary structure includes four short double-helical elements and three loops (D, anti-codon, and T loops). The record is from Rfam. NCBI's taxonomy places the organism in Eukaryota, Metazoa, Chordata, Mammalia, Carnivora, Felidae.
GCCCGGCUGGCUCAGUCAGUUAAGCGUCUGACUUCCGCUCAGGUCAUGAUCUCACGGCUUGUGGGUUCAAGCCCCGCGUCGGGCU